CCUACGGGAUGCUGCAGUGGGGGAUAUUGCACAAUGGGGGAAACCCUGAUGCAGCGACGCCGCGUGGGUGAAGAAGCGCCUCGGCGCGUAAAGCCCUGUCAGCAGGGAAGAAAAUGACGGUACCUGAAGAAGAAGCCCCGGCUAACUACGUGCCAGCAGCCGCGGUAAUACGUAGGGGGCAAGCGUUAUCCGGAUUUACUGGGUGUAAAGGGGGCGCAGACGGCGAUGCAAGCCAGGAGUGAAAGCCCGGGGCCCAACCCCGGGACUGCCCUUGGAACUGGGUGGCUAGAGUGCAGGAGGGGCAGGCGGAAUUCCUGGUGUAGCGGUGAAAUGCGUAGAUAUCAGGAGGAACACCGGUGGCGGAGGCGGCCUGCUGGACUGCAACUGACGUUGGGGCCCGAAAGCGUGGGGAGCAAACAGGAUUAGAUACCCCUGUAGUC
RNAcentral lists this ribosomal RNA (440 nucleotides) under uncultured bacterium. RNAcentral describes it as "partial 16S ribosomal RNA". It matches the Rfam family "Bacterial small subunit ribosomal RNA", at positions 338 to 795 of the family's 1533-position model. The record is from RNAcentral.